RNAcentral lists this ribosomal RNA (253 nucleotides) under uncultured bacterium. RNAcentral describes it as "partial 16S ribosomal RNA". It matches the Rfam family "Bacterial small subunit ribosomal RNA", at positions 524 to 776 of the family's 1533-position model. The record is from RNAcentral.
UACAGAGGUUCCAAGCGUUGUUCGGAUUCACUGGGCGUAAAGGGUGCGCAGGUGGGCUGGUAAGUUCGAUGUGAAAGCCCCGGGCUUAACCCGGGAAAGGGAUUGGAUACUACUGGUCUGGAGGAUUGGAGGGGGGACUGGAAUUCUUGGUGUAGCAGUGAAAUGCGUAGAUAUCAAGAGGAACACCAGUGGCGAAGGCGAGUCCCUGGACAAUACCUGACACUGAGGCACGAAAGCCAAGGGAGCAAACAGG